UACGGGGGGGGCAAGCGUUGUUCGGAAUUACUGGGCGUAAAGGGCUCGUAGGCGGCCAACUAAGUCGGAUGUGAAAUCCCCAGGCUUAACCUGGGAAUUGCAUCCGAUACUGGAUGGCUUGAAUCCGGGAGAGGGAUGCGGAAUUCCAGGUGUAGCGGUGAAAUGCGUAGAUAUCUGGAGGAACACCGGUGGCGAAGGCGGCAUCCUGGACCGGUAUUGACGCUGAGGCACGAAAGCGUGGGGAGCAAACAGG
This 253-nucleotide ribosomal RNA is filed under the name uncultured bacterium. Its description in RNAcentral is "partial 16S ribosomal RNA". It matches the Rfam family "Bacterial small subunit ribosomal RNA", at positions 524 to 776 of the family's 1533-position model. The record is from RNAcentral.